GAGGGAGGAUGCAAGCGUUAUCCGGAAUUAUUGGGCGUAAAGCGUACGUAGGCGGCUUAUCAAGUCCGGGGUCAAAGACCACAGCUUAACUGUGGAAAGGCCUUGGAAACUGGUGAGCUGGAGUGAGGUAGGGGUUGCGGGAAUUCCCGGUGUAGCGGUGAAAUGCGUAGAUAUCGGGAAGAACACCUGAGGCGAAAGCGCGCGACUGGGCCUUAACUGACGCUGAGGUACGAAAGCUAGGGGAGCGAAUGGG
RNAcentral lists this ribosomal RNA (253 nucleotides) under uncultured bacterium. Its description in RNAcentral is "partial 16S ribosomal RNA". It matches the Rfam family "Bacterial small subunit ribosomal RNA", at positions 524 to 776 of the family's 1533-position model. The record is from RNAcentral.